UUGACCUCAAAUCAGGUAGGACUACCCGCUGAACUUAAGCAUAUCAAUAAGCGGAGGAAAAGAAACUAACAAGGAUUCCCCUAGUAACUGCGAGUGAAGCGGGAAGAGCUCAAAUUUUGAAUCUGGCAGUCCUUGGCUGUCCGAGUUGUAAUCUAGAGAAGUGUUUUCCGCGCCGGACCGUGUAUAAGUCUCCUGGAAGGGAGCGUCAUAGAGGGUGAGAAUCCCGUCUUUGACACGGACUACCAGUGCUAUGUGAUGCGCUCUCGACGAGUCGAGUUGUUUGGGAAUGCAGCUCAAAACGGGUGGUAAACUCCAUCUAAAGCUAAAUACAGGCGAGAGACCGAUAGCGAACAAGUACCGUGAGGGAAAGAUGAAAAGAACUUUGGAAAGAGAGUUAAACAGUACGUGAAAUUGCUGAAAGGGAAACGCUUGAUGUCAGUCACGUCGGCUGGGGAUCAACCUUGCUUCUCGCUGGGUGUACUUCCCGGUCGACGGGUCAGCAUCAGUUUUGGUCGCCGUACAAGGGCGAGAGGAACGUGGCACUCUUCGGAGUGUGUUAUAGCCUUUCGUCGUAUGCAGUGGUCAGGACUGAGGAGUGCUCAGCACGGCUUCUUGCUUGUGCUUAGGAUGCUGGCAUAAUGGCCUUAAGCGACCCGUCUUAAAACACGG
RNAcentral lists this ribosomal RNA (669 nucleotides) under Butyriboletus fechtneri. RNAcentral's name for it is "eukaryotic LSU rRNA". It matches the Rfam family "Eukaryotic large subunit ribosomal RNA", at positions 1 to 664 of the family's 3401-position model. Lineage: Eukaryota; Fungi; Basidiomycota; Agaricomycetes; Boletales; Boletaceae. The record is from RNAcentral.